RNAcentral lists this ribosomal RNA (229 nucleotides) under uncultured bacterium. RNAcentral's name for it is "partial 16S ribosomal RNA". It matches the Rfam family "Bacterial small subunit ribosomal RNA", at positions 568 to 796 of the family's 1533-position model. The record is from RNAcentral.
UGCGUAGGCGGGCAGAUAAGUCAGAGGUGAAAGCUCACGGCCUAACCGUGGAAUUGCCUUUGAAACUGUUUGUCUUGAAUCAGGUUGAGGUUAGCGGAAUGUGACAUGUAGCGGUGAAAUGCAUAGAUAUGUCAUAGAACACCAAUUGCGUAGGCAGCUGACUGGACCUGUAUUGACGCUGAGGCACGAAAGAGUGGGGAGCGAACAGGAUUAGAUACCCUGGUAGUCC